GUGGCGGCCGACCAACCGCGACGGCACCGCCGUCUCCUCCGGCGACCUCCAACCCUAAAUCCAAUUUCUAAACACGAACCCUACUUCAUUUUCGCUUCUGAAUUCAAAUCCAACCUCGCCUUUUUCAAACUCUCUCUCAAAUGGUCGGAUCGGCGAUAAGAAAACAAGAAAACCCUAAACCUAAAUUUAUGAUCUACCCUUCAAUAAUCUUGAUUAUGAGAAAUUAACAUGGGGGUUUUGUCUGUUUUGUAGUGACGAACUACAAGCAUAUGGAUUCGAGCAAGGAAAGGAAAGAAAAAGAUUACUUGGCCUACGUCGCCGGUGAUGACGAGCUCCUCCACCGUGCUUCAGAUAAGCUUCUCUCUCUUUCUUUAUGCUCUUCGUCUCCCUCUGUUCUUCCUUCUUCUUUUUGGAUUUUUUGAAUAUUGUUGUUCUGUUCUCGUUCCUUUUAGUAUUGUGUGCUUACUAUUAAAAAUAUUUUUGAUUUUUUCUUAUGAUUCCAAAAACGUGUUUGUUUCGUUGUUUUGGGUUUGAGUUUAAAAAUAUUUCUGAUAACUUCUCUGGAUUUUAUUUUUUUACGUGUUCCUGUUGAUUUGUUG
This 599-nucleotide long non-coding RNA is filed under the name Lathyrus oleraceus (garden pea). Its description in RNAcentral is "Pisum sativum (pea) long non-coding RNA (PSAT_LNC025490)". The record is from RNAcentral. Lineage: Eukaryota; Viridiplantae; Streptophyta; Magnoliopsida; Fabales; Fabaceae.